Molecule: long non-coding RNA, 635 nt
Organism: Dermacentor silvarum
Lineage: Eukaryota; Metazoa; Arthropoda; Arachnida; Ixodida; Ixodidae
Exons: 3
Source: RefSeq, a predicted model, not a curated record
UCGUCCUUCGAGACAAUGCUUUGUUCCACCGCAUAAAGAAAUUCGAUUUGGAACACUUCAUGUGCUAAGGAAUUUUCUUCGUAGUACAAUUCACAUUUAACUUCCUACAGAUGUGCGUUUGUGUGAAGCUUUUGAUAGAUUUAUGUUUGCUGCAGUUUCAUUUCAGUUAAAUAACCGCUUGUGAUGUAACAAUCAGAUGUUUGCACAACCAGAUGCAGCUUCGUGUAGUUUGGUUGUAUGAGACUUUUCAGAAUGUAACAUGAUCUUGUUAACUUGCAAGCUUGCAGUUUCAGCAGGGAUUACAGUAAAUUGGAACAUUUCUUAUUGUUUAGGGAUGUCAAGAUUUCGUGAACCAGAGGCACCGCAUAGGAACCUACGACAUUUCUGCAGCCGGAACAGCACGGCAAAGCAUCUGAUCUGCAUGCUGCGACAAGGUAUGGCUGGGCCUGGUGAUGAAGUGUAAGCAGAACAUGCUAUGCUGCGAAUUGGUGCCAAUCUUCACAUCCGAGUUGUUCCCACGACAGUCAAGCACCACUGUGAUUUGCUUCAUUGGCAAGGUGCCCUGCAAGCUCUCACCAAAGCAACACAUUCCACUGGUUUUCUGUCAGAGUACCGUUAUAGAAUUUCGAAUAAAC